GGGGGACCAUCCUCCAAGGCUAAAUACUCCUGACUGACCGAUAGUGAACCAGUACCGUGAGGGAAAGGCGAAAAGAACCCCGGCGAGGGGAGUGAAAAAGAACCUGAAACCGUGUACGUACAAGCAGUGGGAGCCUCUUUAUGGGGUGACUGCGUACCUUUUGUAUAAUGGGUCAGCGACUUAUAUUCUGUAGCAAGGUUAACCGAAUAGGGGAGCCGAAGGGAAACCGAGUCUUAACUGGGCGUUAAGUUGCAGGGUAUAGACCCGAAACCCGGUGAUCUAGCCAUGGGCAGGUUGAAGGUUGGGUAACACUAACUGGAGGACCGAACCGACUAAUGUUGAAAAAUUAGCGGAUGACUUGUGGCUGGGGGUGAAAGGCCAAUCAAACCGGGAGAUAGCUGGUUCUCCCCGAAAGCUAUUUAGGUAGCGCCUCGUGAAUUCAUCUCCGGGGGUAGAGCACUGUUUCGGCAAGGGGGUCAUCCCGACUUACCAACCCGAUGCAAACUGCGAAUACCGGAGAAUGUUAUCACGGGAGACACACGGCGGGUGCUAACGUCCGUCGUGAAGAGGGAAACAACCCAGACCGCCAGCUAAGGUCCCAAAGUCAUGGUUAAGUGGGAAACGAUGUGGGAAGGCCCAGACAGCCAGGAUGUUGGCUUAGAAGCAGCCAUCAUUUAAAGAAAGCGUAAUAGCUCACUGGUCGAGUCGGCCUGCGCGGAAGAUGUAACGGGGCUAAACCAUG
Molecule: ribosomal RNA, 742 nt
Filed under: Escherichia coli
Lineage: Bacteria; Pseudomonadati; Pseudomonadota; Gammaproteobacteria; Enterobacterales; Enterobacteriaceae
Description: partial 23S ribosomal RNA
Rfam family: Bacterial large subunit ribosomal RNA
Source: RNAcentral